RNAcentral lists this ribosomal RNA (441 nucleotides) under uncultured bacterium. RNAcentral's name for it is "partial 16S ribosomal RNA". It matches the Rfam family "Bacterial small subunit ribosomal RNA", at positions 338 to 795 of the family's 1533-position model. The record is from RNAcentral.
CCUACGGGGGUCAGCAGUGGGGAAUAUUGGGCAAUGGGCGCAAGCCUGACCCAGCAAUGCCGCGUGAAGGAAGAAGGCUUUCGGGUUGUAAACUUCUUUGACAGGGGAAGAGCAGAAGACGGUACCCUGCAAGAAAGCUCCGGCUAACUACGUGCCAGCAGCCGCGGUAAUACGUAGGGAGCAAGCGUUGUCCGGAAUUACUGGGUGUAAAGGGAGCGUAGGCGGGAGGAUAAGUUGAAUGUGAAAUCUAUGGGCUCAACCCAUAGCUGCGUUCAAAACUGUUCUUCUUGAGUGAAGGAGAGGCAGGCGGAAUUCCUAGUGUAGCGGUGAAAUGCGUAGAUAUUAGGAGGAACACCAGUGGCGAAGGCGGCCUGCUGGGCUGUUACUGACGCUGAGGCUCGAAAGCGUGGGUAGCAAACAGGAUUAGAUACCCGUGUAGUC